CCGACAACAAAUAUGGCUGCGGGGAUUCCCCCAAGGGCAUAAGGCGAGGAUCAAUGCUAGUUCCUGUGCUGAGGCAGUGGAAAUACAAUCAUUGGACUUGAGGUCAGGACUGAGGACAUCUGUCUGAGCCUUCAGGGGCUGAGUCACUGGCUUACUUGGACUCUUCCAUGCCGUCCCUAGGGGUGGGUUGAGUCACUGAUGUGAUAUUCCUGUCCGGAUUGGCGCACCCCUUGGGUUGUGCCAUGGAGGAGAUCUUCGUGGGCUAUACUCGGCCUUGUCUCAGGAUGGUAAGUUAGUGGUUGAAGAUAUCCCUCUAGUGG
Oncorhynchus kisutch (coho salmon) is the source of this 320-nucleotide long non-coding RNA. RefSeq lists it as uncharacterized. The record is from RefSeq and is a predicted model, not a curated record. Lineage: Eukaryota; Metazoa; Chordata; Actinopteri; Salmoniformes; Salmonidae. The transcript has 3 exons.